UACUUUUGAAAGUCAAAACCCUAGGCAUUUGAGUACAAAUUUUGUGAUUUCUCUCAAGUUAAAGUUUCAAACGACAUGAGAUUUUAGGCAUAGGCUUUUUAUAUUACAAAUGAUAUGUAUACAAAAAAUAAGAUUCAAAUUUUUCUUGAAGUUCAAAUUUUAGCUUAAAUCCAAAAUCCUCUAUUUCUCUAAUUUCUUCAAAAUCCUAGUUUUAAUUUGUUGGGUUUAACUAGCCAUAUCUCAUUCAUUUUAGAUUCAAUUCUAUUGAUCCUCCAAUAUAAAAUAUUUUGUUUGAAGUCUAGUUUCUAUU
Molecule: long non-coding RNA, 310 nt
Filed under: Physcomitrium patens
Lineage: Eukaryota; Viridiplantae; Streptophyta; Bryopsida; Funariales; Funariaceae
Description: long non-coding RNA (PPAT_LNC010841)
Source: RNAcentral